AGUGAACGCUGGCGGUAGGCCUAACACAUGCAAGUCGAACGGCAGCACAGUAAGAGCUUGCUCUUACGGGUGGCGAGUGGCGGACGGGUGAGGAAUACAUCGGAAUCUACUUUUUCGUGGGGGAUAACGUAGGGAAACUUACGCUAAUACCGCAUACGACCUACGGGUGAAAGCAGGGGAUCUUCUGACCUUGCGCGAUUGAAUGAGCCGAUGUCGGAUUAGCUAGUUGGCGGGGUAAAGGCCCACCAAGGCGACGAUCCGUAGCUGGUCUGAGAGGAUGAUCAGACACACUGGAACUGAGACACGGUCCAGACUCCUACGGGAGGCAGCAGUGGGGAAUAUUGGACAAUGGGCGCAAGCCUGAUCCAGCCAUACCGCGUGGGUGAAGAAGGCCUUCGGGUUGUAAAGCCCUUUUGUUGGGAAAGAAAAGCAGCAGGUUAAUACCCCGCUGUUCUGACGGUACCCAAAGAAUAAGCACCGGCUAACUUCGUG
This 492-nucleotide ribosomal RNA is filed under the name uncultured bacterium. RNAcentral describes it as "partial 16S ribosomal RNA". It matches the Rfam family "Bacterial small subunit ribosomal RNA", at positions 29 to 507 of the family's 1533-position model. The record is from RNAcentral.